GUCCUGCUUCUGAGCCUCGUGUUUGUUGGCAUUGAAGUUGGGGGCCUUCCAGGUGCCAGGCCCUUUCUGUCAGAGCGCACGGCUUCCUGAGCAGGUACCAGAUGAGAAGGCAGUGCGGAACAAGAAAGAAACAAGAGUGGGUGGACUGACCUCUAUUUUCGUGGCUUUGUUAAAAACUGGAAGUUUUCUGAAAGACUGGUGAGAUCCUCCAAAUCCCUAGCCUCUGAGAGCCAGAGGGAAAGGCCAUUCAUGUUCGUGGACCUGGAACCUGUCCACCACCAGGCCCAGCCCUGGCAUGAGGCCACAGCAGCAGGGCCACUGCCCCAGUGAAACUGGAUCCAUCCAAUGAAGCUACCUGCCACUUUCCAUCAUGAGUAGAAGCAGCCUGAGGCCCGUGCCAGAUGCAGCUGUCCCAGAAUCAUAAGCCAAAUAAAC
Cynocephalus volans (Philippine flying lemur) is the source of this 435-nucleotide long non-coding RNA. RefSeq lists it as uncharacterized. The transcript is spliced from 3 exons. The record is from RefSeq and is a predicted model, not a curated record. Lineage: Eukaryota; Metazoa; Chordata; Mammalia; Dermoptera; Cynocephalidae.